AGCAGGUCAGCAGGCAUGCUGCAAAGCGACGAGCUGAAAGGCAGCCCAAGGCUUCCCCCGCUCCUGCUAGGGGCCAUCCUCCUUGGUUGCCCUAGCAACCAGGGAAUGAGCUUCCUGUAGCCAAUGCAGGGGAAAAUAGCCACAGAGGAGGGCAUUGCAGAUCAAAGUGUGUAGCUAGCAUGACAGCGAGCAAGCCUGGAGACCGACUACACCCCGCCAGCUGAGCGCCAAGAUGUUUGCAUUGUGUCACUGCUUGCUGACUUACCACCUGACAUUGUUGAGGACCAGCGUCGAGCAGAAACUCACUGUGGCGAGUGAAGACGGGGAAUGUCCUGCUGAAAACACACAGCAACACAGCACAGUCAGUUUCUGCCACAGAAUCCGGCUUCAAUCCUCUUGUCCAUCUGUCUCCACUUCAUCUUGAUGACCAGCAGCAGGAAACAUGUGAUGUAAAGCAACAACCUCCAUCUGGAGUCAACUUUUUGGCUUUGUUCAGUGACAGUUCUGCCCUUUGAAAACAAGGUCAAUGACAAUUACAACUGAAAUAAGAUUUUGAGUGAGCAGCUGGUCUACACAGUGGGCAGCAGAAUACAUUGAGGACUACUGUUCCUAAUCUCCCAAAAAUGCUUAUUUGAAGCCAAACUUUUACCAUGGCUACUGUAUUCCAUAUGGCUAACAUCAUCGAGAUCAAUACAGAUCAAUCGAGAGUGCUUAUGAUUAUAAAUUUGCCCUCUUGAUAGUGGCACAGGGCCUAUAAUACAGUUCUCUACUACUGGUGUAGAGAAUAAUGUGUAAUAGGAACAUGGUUUUUAAAGCUUAAACAUUUUUACAAUAAAAAUGGAUCAAAU
This is a long non-coding RNA of Seriola dumerili (greater amberjack), 848 nucleotides long. RefSeq lists it as uncharacterized. The record is from RefSeq and is a predicted model, not a curated record. Lineage: Eukaryota; Metazoa; Chordata; Actinopteri; Carangiformes; Carangidae. The transcript has 3 exons.